Molecule: ribosomal RNA, 526 nt
Filed under: Euroscaptor longirostris (long-nosed mole)
Lineage: Eukaryota; Metazoa; Chordata; Mammalia; Eulipotyphla; Talpidae
Description: partial 16S ribosomal RNA
Rfam family: Bacterial large subunit ribosomal RNA
Source: RNAcentral
CACCUCUGGCAUUAACAGUAUCAGAGGCACUGCCUGCCCAGUGACAUAAGUUAAACGGCCGCGGUAUCCUGACCGUGCAAAGGUAGCAUAAUCAUUUGUUCUCUAAUUAAGGACUUGUAUGAAAGGCCACACGAGGGUUUAACUGUCUCUUACUUUUAAUCAGUGAAAUUGACCUUCCCGUGAAGAGGCGGGAAUAAAACAAUAAGACGAGAAGACCCUAUGGAGCUUCAAUUAAUUAACUCAAGAAAGAAUCACCUUCCUCCCCGACAGGCAACAACAUAACUGUAACUGAGUUAACAAUUUCGGUUGGGGUGACCUCGGAGUACAGACCAACCUCCGAGAGAUUUCAGUCUAGACUUACAAGUCAAAACCUGCAAAAAAUCACAAUUGAUCCAAUAAAUUUUGAUCAACGGAACAAGUUACCCUAGGGAUAACAGCGCAAUCCUAUUUAAGAGUCCAUAUCGACAAUAGGGUUUACGACCUCGAUGUUGGAUCAGGACAUCCCAAUGGUGCAGCCGCUAUUAAU